GGCGGCACAAGAAUGGACCAGAAUCAAAUUGCAGUGAAAACCCACUAAGGUGGGUGCUUUAUUUUUCUUUGUACAGCAAAAUAAAGAGUGCAGCGUUGUAGCUCCCUCGUGGCGUGGCUAGUGUGCAGGGUUGGUUUAGGUACUGGGGAAUUCAGCUGGGUAGGCGAGGUGCAGUAGAGGGGCUCACCGGUGUAGUUGGGCAAGGAGGGGACAGGAGACCUCGAGUUCCAGUGGGGAUCCAUUCAGCUC
Molecule: long non-coding RNA, 249 nt
Organism: Sander lucioperca (pikeperch)
Lineage: Eukaryota; Metazoa; Chordata; Actinopteri; Perciformes; Percidae
Exons: 3
Source: RefSeq, a predicted model, not a curated record